This is a non-coding RNA of Podarcis lilfordi (Lilford's wall lizard), 79 nucleotides long. Lineage: Eukaryota; Metazoa; Chordata; Lepidosauria; Squamata; Lacertidae. The record is from the annotation of a GenBank genome assembly.
UAACUGUAGCUCAAGUGGGACAACAUCUGCUUCGCAUGCAGAAGGCCACAGGUUCAAUUCCUGGCUUCUCCCAGUAGAA